AGUCGGGAAUUUUGGGCAAUGGGCGAAAGCCUGACCCAGCAACGCCGCGUGAAGGAUGAAAUCCCUCGGGAUGUAAACUUCGCAAGAACGGGAAGAAUAAGUCGGUGCUAACACCACCGGCGAUGACGGUACCGUUUGUAAGCUCCGGCUAACUCCGUGCCAGCAGCCGCGGUAAUACGGGGGGAGCAAGCGUUGUUCGGAUUUACUGGGCGUAAAGGGCGCGUAGGCGGCCACCGCAAGUCAAUUGUGAAAUCUCCGGGCUUAACUCGGAAAGGUCAACUGAUACUGCGGGGCUAGAGUGCAGAAGGGGCAACUGGAAUUCUCGGUGUAGCGGUGAAAUGCGUAGAUAUCGAGAGGAACACCUGCGGCGAAGGCGGGUUGCUGGGCUGACACUGACGCUGAGGCGCGAAAGCUAGGGGAGCGAA
RNAcentral lists this ribosomal RNA (425 nucleotides) under uncultured bacterium. RNAcentral describes it as "bacterial SSU rRNA". It matches the Rfam family "Bacterial small subunit ribosomal RNA", at positions 353 to 772 of the family's 1533-position model. The record is from RNAcentral.